RNAcentral lists this ribosomal RNA (487 nucleotides) under uncultured bacterium. Its description in RNAcentral is "bacterial SSU rRNA". It matches the Rfam family "Bacterial small subunit ribosomal RNA", at positions 62 to 562 of the family's 1533-position model. The record is from RNAcentral.
UCGAACGAGAAAGCGGCGGCAACUCCGCGAGUAAAGUGGCGACCGGGUGAGUAACACGUGACUAACCUGCCCUCGAGCGGGGGAUAACCCCGGGAAACCGGGGCUAAUACCGCAUAACACCCUCGAUACGAAGGUCUUGAGGAUCAAAGGAGCAAUUCACUUGAGGAGGGGGUCGCGGCCGAUUAGCUAGUUGGUGGGGUAAUGGCCCACCAAGGCUGAGAUCGGUAGCCGGCCUGAGAGGGCGCACGGCCACACUGGAACUGAAACACGGUCCAGACUCCUACGGGAGGCAGCAGUGGGGAAUUUUGCGCAAUGGGGGGAACCCUGACGCAGCAACGCCGCGUGGAGGAUGAAGUCCCUUGGGACGUAAACUCCUUUCCGACCGGGAAGAUAAUGACGGUACCGGAAGAAGAAGCACCGGCUAACUCUGUGCCAGCAGCCGCGGUAAUACAGAGGGUGCGAGCGUNGUUCGGAAUUAUUGGGCGUA